Molecule: long non-coding RNA, 1217 nt
Organism: Pan paniscus (pygmy chimpanzee)
Lineage: Eukaryota; Metazoa; Chordata; Mammalia; Primates; Hominidae
Source: Ensembl
CUUGAGCUCCUUCUGGAAUUUACCCUGAAUUAUCUGAGUGAGCCCUAAAUGCAAUCACGUGUAUCCUUCUAGGAGAGAAGCAGAUGGAAUUUUGAGAGAGAAAACGAGGAGGUAAAAUGAAGACAGGCAGAGAUGGGAGUGGUGCAGCCAAGAGCCAAGCAACACCUAGCGCCACCAGCAGCUGGAAGAGGAAAAGAAGAGAUUUAUCUCCAGAGUCUUAGAAGGAAGCACAGCCGUGCUUUAAUUUUGGACUUCUGGCUUCCACAAUAAGAAGAGAAUAAAUCGAUGUUGCCUUAGUCCAUCCAGUUUAUGGUAAUUUGUUACAGCACUCUAGGAAACUAAUACAACAAACAAGGCCUGACUGAACAGAGUGGAAAGUUAGCAGAGAGGAAGGAGAGGUUACUUCACCCCUGGGGUCUCGACUCAGAAUAGAGAUUGAGAAUCACAGAUCUAGUUGAACCAUCCAACUUUCGAACAUGAAUAAACUGAGGACCCAGAGGUGAAGUGAUUUUUCCACAGUCCCACGACAGAUAUGGCCAAACCAGGGAUCCUUUUGCAUUGUGGUUUUGGGAAUCACCUGUAAACAGUAAGAACAAGGUAGCAAGGCUGGGGCUCAGCUGUAGACAAUAAAGCCUUUGCCUGAGGGUUGCAGGAAUGAGAGGCCUCUCUGAGAGGCCCCAAGUCGAUUUUGCCCUUCUCCAGAGACAGAGAGCUGGUCUACCUGAGGCUGACAUGGGGAGGAAAGGCAAAGAGAAGGAUUGCCUGAAUGUCAAUGGUGAUUUUGCACAUUUUACAGUCACUUUUAUAAAAAGGUAAGUGGAAAAAAAUUCUAUUUUCCAUUUCCUGCCAGGUUUUAUAUUUUACCCUUCACUUGCAAAAAAUGUCCAAAUCCAACGCUUACACUUUAGAGGUGUAAUUUGGUUCUAAUUUUAUUUUUAAAAAUUUGCAGAUAGAGUUAGUGGCUCACUGUAUCAUUUUAUUUUUUCUAAAGCAGUAUAAUUUCUGGAGUGCAAAUGAGAAAGAUUCGAGAGGCCUGGUAUAAGAUAUAAAUUUAGUUAAAAUUGUUCCUCUAGAUUGUAAAUUAUACAUUGUGAUCCUGAUAUUCUAGUAAUAUUAACACAACUGAUGCAUAAUCUUAAAGUUUAUGUGCCUCUACCCUUUCAUUUUUAAACCUUCUGGAGGAUUAACAUGCUGUUCAAUAGUCUACAGACCUGCAG